This 498-nucleotide ribosomal RNA is filed under the name uncultured bacterium. Its description in RNAcentral is "partial 16S ribosomal RNA". It matches the Rfam family "Bacterial small subunit ribosomal RNA", at positions 28 to 507 of the family's 1533-position model. The record is from RNAcentral.
GACGAACGCUGGCGGCGUGCCUAAUACAUGCAAGUCGAACGAGAGCGCCCGGUGCUUGCACUGGUCAAUCUAGUGGCGAACGGGUGAGUAACACGUGGGUAACCUGCCCAUCAGAGGGGGAUAACAUCCGGAAACGGAUGCUAAAACCGCAUAGGUCUUCGAACCGCAUGGUUUGAAGAGGAAAAGAGGCGCAAGCUUCUGCUGAUGGAUGGACCCGCGGUGCAUUAGCUAGUUGGUGAGGUAACGGCUCACCAAGGCCGUGAUGCAUAGCCGACCUGAGAGGGUGAUCGGCCACAUUGGGACUGAGACACGGCCCAAACUCCUACGGGAGGCAGCAGUAGGGAAUCUUCCGCAAUGGACGCAAGUCUGACGGAGCAACGCCGCGUGAGUGAAGAAGGUUUUCGGAUCGUAAAACUCUGUUGUUAGAGAAGAACAAGUGCUAGAGUAACUGUUAGCGCCUUGACGGUAGCUAACCAGAAAGCCACGGCUAACUACGUG